GCAAGCAAGGUUUAUUCAGUUUGAUUUGAAAUCAUUCUUUUCGCUUUUAUUAGUGAUGUUUGCU
RNAcentral lists this transfer RNA (64 nucleotides) under Orientocreadium sp. HS. RNAcentral's name for it is "tRNA-Ser". The record is from RNAcentral. Lineage: Eukaryota; Metazoa; Platyhelminthes; Trematoda; Plagiorchiida; Orientocreadiidae.